UGAAUGCGACUGCGCCUCGUAGGCUAUUUGAAUGUUGGUUCUUCGUUACGUUGCUCUCAUCGGCUGCGUAAGGUGACUAACGAGUUUACCUUGAAAAAAUUAGAGUGCUCAAUGCGGGCUUGAAAGCACGCCUGAAUACUCGUGCAUGGAAUAAUGGAAUAGGAUCUCGGUUCUAUUUUGUUGGUUUUCUGAUCUGAGAUAAUGGUUAAGAGGGACAGACGGGGGCAUUCGUAUCGCUGCGUGAGAGGUGAAAUUCUUGGACCGUAGCGAGACGUCCCACUGCGAAAGCAUUUGCCAAGAAUGUCUUCAUUAAUCAAGAACGAAAGUCAGAGGUUCGAAGGCGAUCAGAUACCGCCCUAGUUCUGACCGUAAACGAUACCAACUAGCGUUCCGUCAGCAGUAAUUACGCCUUGACGGGCAGCUUUCCGGAAACGAAAGUUUUUCGGUUCCGGGGGAAGUAUGGUUGCAAAGCUGAAACUUAAAGAAAUUGACGGAAGGGCACCACCAGGAGUGGAGCCUGCGGCUUAAUUUGACUCAACACGGGAAAACUCACCUGGCCCGGACACCGUGAGGAUUGACAGAUUGAGAGCUCUUUCUUGAUUCGGUGGUUGGUGGUGCAUGGCCGUUCUUAGUUGGUGGAGUGAUUUGUCUGGUUUAUUCCGAUAACGAACGAGACUCUAGCCUGCUAAAUAGUCGGCGAAUAAUUGAUUAACGUCGACCGUUCGUACGACUUCUUAGAGGGACAAGCGGUGUUCAGCCGCAUGAAGUUGAGCAAUAACAGGUCUGUGAUGCCCUUAGACGUCCAGGGCUGCACGCGCGCUACACUGGAGGAAUCAACGUGUCAAUGUCCGUUGUCGAAAGGCAACGGAAACCCAUUGAAAAUCCUCCGUGAUCGGAAUCGGGAAUUGCAAUUAUUUCCCUUGAACGAGGAAUUCCUAGUAAGUGUGAGUCAUCAGCUCACGCUGAUUACGUCCCUGCCCUUUGUACACACCGCCCGUCGCUGCCCGGGACUGAGCCGUUUCGAGAAAAGCGAGGACCGGCGUUAUUGAGUCAUCGUUUCGUUGAUUUGAUUGACGUUAGAAAUCGCCUUAAUCGCAGUGGCUUGAACCG
RNAcentral lists this ribosomal RNA (1110 nucleotides) under Philometra mirabilis. RNAcentral describes it as "SSU rRNA". It matches the Rfam family "Eukaryotic small subunit ribosomal RNA", at positions 667 to 1780 of the family's 1831-position model. The record is from RNAcentral. Lineage: Eukaryota; Metazoa; Nematoda; Chromadorea; Rhabditida; Philometridae.